RNAcentral lists this long non-coding RNA (7213 nucleotides) under Sus scrofa (pig). Its description in RNAcentral is "lncRNA (ENSSSCG00000058581.1)". Lineage: Eukaryota; Metazoa; Chordata; Mammalia; Artiodactyla; Suidae. The record is from RNAcentral.
ACAGACUUUCUUUUGAGUGAUUUCUGGCUCUGAGAACCCUCUUUACUCACUAUAAAAGAACUUUAUUUAAAUGACCAAUUUUGUCCCCCAGAAAAAGAAAUUUUAGAAAGAGAAAAAUGGGACACUAAAGGCAGAACCAUGUGACUUGGUGUCAAACAAAAGGAAAGGGGCGCAUCAGAAUUUCAAUAGGCUCCCUAAUUUCACAGAAAAGCAAGGCAACCCAGUGCCUCUCGGUCUGGAGCAUGUAAAGAGUGCUUGAGCUGACCUGCCAUCAGGCUCCCCCUGUGCCAGAGGCAACCUCAUGGGGGGAGCAGCGGCAGCUGCUUUCUCUUCUGUGUUUUCAUGAAGAAAGGGCCUGUUCUCCUAGGUGCCCAGGAAGUAGAUGACCCAGGGCAAACUUUCCAAAGCAGUCUCUACCCUGUGCUCAGACCACGUAUGGCAACAGAAAAGGGGCACCUCGGAGGCGCUCUUGCCCUAGAGAGAGGAUAUUUUCAUAUUCCCAAGAGCUGUUUGUGUAGUUUGCAUUUCAGAUACUGCUUAAAUCUCCCCAAGAAGGAAAGCUGUGAUGACUCAGUGUUCCUGUAAGCACAAAGCCUGGAAAUUACAAACCCAAAGCAUCAUUUCUGGCACUAGGUACUAAGACGAUUAGCCUGACCAGAACACCCCAAAGAUUUUUCUAAGUCUCUGAAUAUUUUUUUUCUUCUGGAACACCGAAUCCAUAGCGGUCAGCAGUACCCAUUAACAGAUCCCAGAAGAUGGUGUGACACACUAGUGUCUGUUUCAAUUCUUUCUAGAGUAAAGAGGUAGAAGAUGAGGGCUACACAGGUUUCUUUUCAGGCCUGUGUGUUUUACUGAACGAGGGGUGAAAAUGAUGCCCUGAGUUGAAACAAGAAACAUCACUUUUUCACACCGCUGGCCGAAAUGCCUAGGUUCCAGUGGUUCUUCAGGCCCAGCCUAUUGCUCCAAAAACCGAAUACUUUCAGACUAAAUCUAAUCUGAAGUGACCUCAGUUAAAGUAUUUUGGCAGGAAGCCACUUAUAGUAAAGAAUUACUGCCUUAAAUCAGAAAGCCCAGGGAAGAGAAUAGAAGAUAGAGAAACUGUAAGGGUGUGAAGACAUGGCCAUUUCUUGCUUCUUAAUGGUUAUAUUAUCAAAAAAAAUGAGCCCCACUCGUGACUGAAAAUGAUGGAAACAGUGACUUUGGGGGGAGGCACCAAACUUGUCCAGAACUGGCUACACUCAGGAAGUGGCUGCUAUUUCCUGUCCUAUCUCAGUGACAUAGGUCUGGGCUGGAUAGAAAACAGACAUCCUAUUAGCCAAAUAGUGAGUUGCAUAAGACAGGAUCACAGGUGCCUAAGAUGCCAGUUUUAAUCAUGUGCUUAACAGGGAGAACAAUCUCAGCAAAAAGCUUUCUUUUCCUGUACAGUGUAUAUCUCUGAACUUUUUUUUUUUUUUCUCAGUUUCAGUGAGCAUCUGGUUUAUCUGGUGGUUCUUUGUUGAAAUGCAAACUCACAACUUUCGAGUCUUCAGUGAAGGAGCACAGUCUGCAGAUUGGAGGGAAAUUUUUGCCACAGUUCCGGGAGUCCUGGCUCUUGAGAUGCCUAAUUAGGGUAUAAAAAGUCCCUAACUAGCCCUCUUGCCAGCUCAGAGGUUUCCUUGAUUCAAAAUGCUUCAAUGAGAUUCUGAUACACCCAAGACAGGAAAAAAAAAAUUAACCCCCUAGAAGACAUCUGUUUCUACUACUUUUGCAACAGAAGUUUGCUAUUGCCCAGCAAAAUCAUUACAAUUUAUAUGUAGAUUCUAGUAAUGAAAGGGACUUAACCCAUCUAGUAUGUCACAGCUGCUGUCCAAAAUGUCUGUAAAUGAGUACAUAUUAUGCAUGUACACACGCAGUGUGGGGUGCUCUCACCACCACACUAUUCCACAUGCAUAGUCCCCAGCAACAAGAUAGAGUCUGGAAUUUCUAGUUAGUCAAAGAUCUCGCAUAUCUCAUUUAUCUGCUUCUGCUCUGUUGCCUUAGUUGGGUGCACAAGUGCCGCCCACUAUCUGUGAUGAGGCUCUAAGGCAUUCUGAAGGAGCCCAAGCAUCAGUAAUAUCUCUGUACCCCUUUCAUGAGACACUUGAACUUGCUUGUGUGGAGUAGAGUGCACUUAACAAACUGCCCUUCUACUGGAUUUACUGACAUGUGCGUGCAUGUGUAUUUGCGUGUGUACUUGUUGUAGUCUGAGAGUACGUGUGCAUCUCAAACAACGCACACACCAGCAUAGGUCCUGGUGCAUAGAUACAUUUGCCUCUUCCCACCAUCAUGCUCAAGACUUGUGGCUCCCUUCCCAGGAAGCAGUCACCUGCCCACUCUGUUGCUUUUUGUAGCAUUUCAGAGUUGGGAGAAACAGAGGCAGCUUGUUGGAUCCACAGCAAACCCACAGUGACAGGCUGUUUGCCUCCAGAAGAAGGUAGAACAGACACACUCAACUGGCAAGUAGACAAGAGGGAACAGCCGUCUGGGGUACCCCUGGCCCCUUUGCGGGGGGUGCAGGAGGGGCACCGAUGCUAGUCAGGCAAGGCCCAUACAGACUUCAGUUUGAGCCAUUCCAUGGCUUAAAGGCCUCCAUUCCUUUCCUCUAUGCAACCCAGUGUGUGCACAAAAACACCCACCCACUUGUAAGUUUUACUCCCAAACUAAAGCUUCCUAAUCCUGCUGGCAUUUGCAGGGAACCAUCAUCAUUCACAAACUGUGUCUCCUGAAACCAAUGUGGCCUUUGUCGAAGUCUUUCCAGGAGUGGGUUGUUUACUAUGUCUAGCAAACCAAUAGACUCUCGGAAGAAUAUUUCGUGGUCAUCUCUAAGAAUUGAUGGCUCCUGCCCAUCUCAAACAUUAAAGUGGAAGCAUGCUCUAGUGUACUAUUCUGAAUAAACAGACCUGGCUGUCAUAGCUGACUUCGAAGGGUGGCCUGGAAAUAGUCGGAUUCAGUUUUCUCACUCCCAUGCCCUUCUUUAGCUGGUUUAUUAUUUUUUGUGAUAUGUGGAUUAUUUCUGCUAACUUACAGAAUUCAGAGGACAUUUUCUUUCCUCUUCUAUUUUGGUGAUUUUCCCCCUCCCCAAUUAAGUAAAGCUACUUACAGUUGCAAUCUUCGUUGUUGGGGUUUUUUUGUUUUGUUUUGUUUUUUGGGUUUUCUUUUUUUUUUUUUUUUUUUUUUACUGUAUUUCUUUUUACUGGAAAAAAAUGAAUUUUUUUUUAAUUAACAGUACUAGUGACUUUGUGGAAGAAUAUGAGUUACUAUUUAGGUAUGCUUACUUAAGUACAGUACACUACAUUGCAGUAUUUCUGAAAGCUAGAACAUACACAUUAUAUAUAACAACUCUAUAUUGAAAUAUAUAUUACAUUAUAUUCAUUUAACUUUUGAAUCUGCCUAUGAUCAUGAGUUGAUUGAAAUAUUAUUUCUUUGCAUUUAUCACCCAUCACCAACCUGCUGCAGUUAAUCUGGUGCAUUUAGUAAUAAUCAUUACUGCUCUAGUUUGCUUUUUAUAUUAUCAGCUUCAGUAUUGUCUUUACAGGAUUUUAGAAUUUUUUUUAAGCUCGGACUUAGCAAAUGUAGGAAAGUGAAAACUUUUUUUAAGAAAAAAUUUUUGUGUGUGUGGCCGACACAAAGAGGUUCAUAGUCAACAUGAUCUUGUUUAGCUGACCCUCUCAGUAUCUCAAGAACAAAAGAAGCGCAUAUGAAUGUAUCUGUGAUUUUCCCCUCUAGGACUGUCACUGUCUAUAUUUGCUUUUAAAAAUAUGACCAAGGGGCCGCUUAACCUCCAUAUGAUCUGACCAGCAAUCACAGGCUGCAUUUCAAAGGGCUGCUCAUCUGAGAAGCAGAAGGCAGUUAAAUCCCUAGUUGUCCCAAACGUAUUUUCAAACAUUGAUUUUUAAUACUGGUUCUUCACUGACUACUUUCUGUUUUCAAUCUGCUUACAAUUAGUCAUCAAUGCUUCCCUGGAGGUAACUCAGCAAUAUAAUAUUUUCCUGAGAGAUUUUUUUUUAUUUGAUGAAAUCAGAAUUUGAGGAACUUUUUCAUGACAGAGGCUGAUAGAACUAGAACUACUCAGAAAUGUAUAGUUCAUUUUUUUAGUCUGCAGAGUUCAUAAAAUGGUGGUUCUUGGGUAUCUGGCCCUCAAUAUCUCUGUUUGUCUGUUAAGGUGGAGAUUUGGUGCCUUUCUUCUUUAACCAGACCAUCGUGAGAACAUCAGAAAUCAGGCAUCCUGUCUUCUUCACAAGAAAUAUUUUCACAUAACAUCUUUAAAGCUUCUUCAGCUUCCCUUGGCUACUCAAUCCAGUGCUUGGAAAACUCCACUGAUGGAUAAACUAUACCUCCCUCCUGGGUUCCUAAGACCAGGCUUAUUCUCUCGGGUCUGCAUUCAGGACAAAAUGAAAACAGCUGUUCAUAAUACUCAGCAUGAGAGCCCUUUCCACACUGAACCACGAUGAAGGCUUCUCAGUGUGAAUAACAUUAAUUCCCUCCUUUCAUCUUUUCCAGGAGAGUUUUCUUUUCCAGCCCCUCCCCUUCCCCCUUCUCCAGCUCCCUUCCACAUUCUCUACUUGUGAAACCCAGGACUCAUUAAGGGACUACCAACUCUAGUCUGCUUCACAGGAGCUAGUAUUGAGUCUAAAAGCAUCAAUCUGUUUCUCCAAAGUUUGCGAUGAAAUCUAGUUCUGCUAGACAAACAUAAUUGUAAAUUGAGGAUUAGGGAAGCUGUUUUUUGGUUGUUGUUUUUUUUUUUUUUCCCAAUGAUUACUUCAUCUCCAAAUUGUAUCUACUUCACUGUUUUCCUCUUUCCUUUUCCUUCUCUUCAUUACUUGUUUCUCUUUAAGACUUUAAAUUACCACUUCCUCUCCCCACUGCCCUGAGAACUCUAAUAAUUAUGACCCUCGGGGCUCAUUUCCCUUCCUUCUUUCUACCCCAUUCUGAAUUCCUCCUUUGAGCUUUAUGUGGCAAGAGUGUUGACGUGAGUGAGCUCCUCACCAGGAGACCCGUAGGCAGACUGGGGGCUGUCUUCACAGUACCUGCAAGUUUUAAAGUUAUCAAUGUUCUUUUGUGAGUGGGAGGACCUGAGUCACAGUUGUAAAUGUCAGCUGUACUAGCUGAGGGUCAUUAAUUCCUUUCAACCUUCACAUUUGGCCAAAGAUAAAGAGAAAAAUAUUUUCUGGUUUCUCUCUCUUUUUUUCAAUACCACAGUGUUCAAAUUCCGGAUAUGAGUAGUCAAUUUCUGAGGGAGAAAAAAAAAUUAUCACUGCUGACUCUCAGCUACUGCUAAUAUUUAGCCAGAUGACAUAUUUACUGGCUACUAGACACAGAAGUCUAAUGAAAGGUGUGAUAUUUCAGAAUAAUUUUGAUAACUGCCCGAGCCUUAGUGAGCUCUUCUAAAACAAGUAAAGCCACUUCUCAAACGUAUCGUAUGGGAUGACUAAGAAUAAAUUUUUUAUUUAUUAUCUUUUUGAAAGACAAAUGAUUGGCUUAUAACUCGAAGUAGGAAUUUACUAAGGGAUAAAAAGAUCCAUAGUUUCUAAAGUGUCUAUUUUGCAACCAGAUUUUUUUUAAACCUGAACUUAAUAUGUGCUUAAAUAAAAUAAUAACAAGGCUGAACAGAUACUUGAUGGGCCAUGUAAUACACUCCCCAGUACCUAAGCAUUCACCAUGUAAUUCGGUCAUCAUGCUAGAUGCCAUUUCAAUGACUUACAACUGUCAGGUUGCCAGAACAUCGCCCAAAGACUGGUACAGCUUUGGGUCUGUCCCUUUACAGGAUGUUUAUGACUUGAUCUUAACAACUCUGCAGGGGUCCCAGUCCAGCACUCUUAUUGUGACACCGCCUUACUGCUCAGCUUCUGUGGCAUUUAGAGCACUACCUGGUUUUGAGCACACAAGGGCAUGCUUUCAUUUCUUACUGUAUCCACUGACAGACAGAAGCAACAUUAAUAUCAGAAAUGUAUUCUUAAUUAGACUUGAGGCAUGAGCCAGAUUUUAUCUUAGUCAAGCCAGUUUUUCACAUCAUCUCACACUGCAGAGAGCAAUGAGAUAAAGACGUUCAGGAGUUACCUGGUGGCUCUCUGGGUUAAGGAUCUGGCAUUGUCCCUGCUAUGGUUCUGGUGCAGGUUUGAUCCCUGGCCCCAGAACUUUGCAUGCUGAGGGCAUAGCCAAAAAAUAUAUAGAAAAGCACUCAAGUCAACACAUUUUUUAAAAAUAAAUUAAAAGAGGUUCAAAAGCCUUUCCAAGUUUCUAUUCUCAUAGGAAAUCAGAACUUCUUAAAGCCAGUAUUUAUGUUGCCUAGGGCUAUGAUCUUCAUUUCACACAUUCUUCCCAUUAUUUCUAUCUCCUUGCUGUCCUUUGUCUGUUCUGAUUUCCUCUAUCUUUUUUUUUAAAGUACUCUUCAUCUGAAGUACUCCUCUCCUCAGCCUUUGGCUUCUCAAAGAAUAAAAGACUCUCUUUUAAAUCCUAAGUAGCAUCAUGUAAAGUAUAAUGUGGAGGAGGAGAGGAUCCAGUUCUGAUAGGUCCCGUGUGGUCCAGUUUAUCACAAGGAUUCCUCCAGAAUGCCUUCUUGACAUUGUUCAUUCUAGUUCCCCAAGAAGGGCUCUAACCCUGAGACCUGGGAUUUCUCACUACAACCUCUGCAUUAGUCUAGAUUAAUGUCUAAAGCCUGUUUAAUAUUCUGGAGACUCCAGGAUGUGAAUUUCUUAUUGCUUAUGAGCCUCCUGCUUUUCUAAGCUGACACCUGUCAGGAGCACCAGUAGCCCUCACAGUAACUAAUGCAGCAGAAUAAUGGUCAGAAACAUUAUAGUAUGUAUUGGGGAGGAUAAGAAGAGAUUUGUUUCUUUUCCUCCAUUCAGAGCUUGCUUUCUCCCCCAUCCCACCCCACCCCUGCCACCACAAUGCAUUUCAGAAACUCUGCAUCUCAUUUUACAGAUAUGUAGUUUUAGGAUUUGCAAAUAUAGCUUAGGAAAUGUUCCGAGAUUGAGGCUGGUAGCAAACCAGUUUAUUUUCUGCACUGGACUUUAGGACAAGUGUGCACAGAUACAAUUCCUUCAAAGAAAGUGAAACUAACAUAGUAAAGCAAAGGGAUAAUACUUUUACACAUUAAAACAGUUGUUUGCUAUCUGUAAACCUUGAUGUAAGCAUAAUUACUACUUUUUAGAAACCUAAAACUGGAGGAAUGUGUAUUUUAGUAAAGUUUGUUUGU